Molecule: non-coding RNA, 441 nt
Organism: Meleagris gallopavo (turkey)
Lineage: Eukaryota; Metazoa; Chordata; Aves; Galliformes; Phasianidae
Source: RefSeq, a predicted model, not a curated record
UUACAUGACAGCCGUAGGUCUUAAGCUCUCACUGAAUAACUUAACUACAAAAACACGAAAUCAAUCCUCUUCUCCUGGAGUCGACAGAAAGGAGAGCGAGUGGAACUAGAGAGGGGAGCCAAAAGCAGCCAGCUCCCUUCUUCCUUUCAUACACCACAAGGAACGUGUGCACCUCUAUGCACGUGAAGGCAUAACAACAGAAGAAUUUGUCUUGAGGCAGUACAUCAAAGAAAUUAACAGCAUGUUUUUCUUGCCUAUGCAACAGGCACUGAAUCUGGAUUGACCGAGCUGUAAUUCCCUCGAUCCUUCUUCUUAUGGAUAAGCACUCUUCUCCCUUCCUCAUCCUCUGGGACACCCAGGAGCUCUUGAACAUAAUCAUCGAUGUCAGUGAUUGCUGCCGCCGGUUCCCAUGUUCGCCUGGGUAAAUGUCACCAGCCUUCC